This 1234-nucleotide small RNA is filed under the name Arabidopsis thaliana (thale cress). Its description in RNAcentral is "ATSL153410". The record is from RNAcentral. Lineage: Eukaryota; Viridiplantae; Streptophyta; Magnoliopsida; Brassicales; Brassicaceae.
GAUAUUCACCAUACCCUCCUUGAAAUUAAUCUUCUUUGAGCGACGAACAGGUUUGGAGACAUCGAAUUUGACCUUCACACGAACAUAUUCCGUAAUCUGAGACUUGGACGGAUCGAAAGCCACUUCAACAACUUGUCCAACGAAUUCUCCCAACAUAGUAAUCGUUGGGAUAGUGUAGUGGUUAACCGGAAUAUUCCUUAUUUGGACCCAUACUUCUAUGAAUUGGAGGUAGUCAGCCGGAGGGUUCUCAACCCAACGCUCUAUGGCUAAAGUCCACUCAUUGAAGGUAUGAACACCCUUUGCUAGAAUUCCCAACAGAUCUUACUCGUAAGAGAAAAUGAACUGAAACCUCUCAUUAGAAAGCGCAAUUCCUCUUACCCUCUCACUGAUUUGCCAUUUCCUGGGAAGAUUCUGGAUGAGAUUGGACAUCUUCUGACUGUUUGGGUUCAGAACACGACCCACCAAACUCAACACAUUCUUCUCACUAGAACAGAAUUCAGGUAAAUCCGGCAUCGUAAACGGCUCAUCCUCCUCCUCUAAGGACAUUGCCAUUAAAGCCCGAUCGAUGCUAGCUGACAUAGUAACGGAUCUUGAAACUUCGAGAAAAACAGCGAGAAACAGUUUAAAACAAACCCUAGCUGAUGAAGAGAAACGGCUUAGCUUUUGAAGAUUAAACUGAAAGUAGGUUAAAGAUACGGCUAAGAGGAAAGAAACACCACGACUAAAGCUCUAUUCCACUUAGAAGCGAAUACUCUAAGAGAGAAAGAAGGUCUUAAGCCCAAAAGAGGGAAGCUGAAAAUUUUCAAAAGAGGGAAGCUGGUCAGUUUUAUGUUUUCUUAUAUAAAAUCUAUAAUAUUAGUAGGCUUUAUGAUAAAUUGUUACUACAACCACUCCGAAGCAACUAUUGCCCGCAAACGCACCUGUUUCCAACUGAAAUCAGAAAAAGUGCCAACAAGAUAUCCAUAACAACACAAACAAAAUCACAUAGAAGACUCUGUUUCAAGUUCCAACAACACAUUAUUCAAAACCCACUCUUUACUUACUCACUUACUCUCUUCUGCUAAGAUUAGCCAAGCUCAUCAAGAAUUAAUCCCCUGACGAUAAUAAUGAUCCUACAGCCUCCUCCAUGCUCUUCCCAUUUGGAUUCUUGUUCCAUUCCAACAUUUUUCUAAAAGUCUCCACGAAUUUCUCCGCGUGAACCACUCUCCAUUCCUACACACACACACACACAAAA